UAAGUGAGUGGUAAGAAGAGCACGGGACUGGGUACCAGUUUCUUCACACUCAGAUGCUGUGGUUUGUACAUGCUUGUCCCAGGGAGUGGCACUAUUAGAAGGUGUGAUCCUGUUGGAGUAGGUGUGUCACUGUGGGCGUGGGCUAUAAGACCCUCACCUUAGCUGCCUGGAAUUCAAUGUUCAUCUAGCAGUCUUCAGAUGAAGAUGUAGAACCGUAAGCUCCUCCUGCACAAUACCUGCCUGGAUGCUGCUUUGUUCCUGCCUUGGUGAUAAGUGACUGAACCUCAGAACUUGUAAGCCAGCCCCAAUUUAAUGUUGUCCUUGUAAGAGUUGCCUUGGUCACGGUGUCUCUUCACAGCAGUAAAACCCUGACUAAGACAGACACCAAUCAUGCUAGUUAAUUAGUGUCUUUGUAUUUGUCUUCUUCUUUGGGAACUAGGGGACAGGCCAUAACUACCUGAAUUGCGGUUCACAGCAAAUAAAAAACAAAACACAAACAAAGCAACUGGGUCCCUGAGGAAAGGAGGGGCAGCAGAUGUGAUCUGGCCAGCACCUUUCACUAACGGUUUCAUGCCAGAGUCACACAAACCUAAUUUUAUUUUUAACAAAAGUUAAGCUCAGUGUCUUUAAUUUGCUUCAGAUACUUGUGAAAAUUUCAAGAAAACAGAAGCCCGUAUUGCAGCAUUUUGAAUAAGCAAAAAUUACCGCAGAAAGGAAACAAACACAAACUUUAAACUUGGUUAAAAUUUGCAAACAUGAUGAUCCAGCAGACACACUCACGGUUUCGAAAUGUAAAUUCUCUACAGCCACACAGUUAAUUUAAAGUAUUUUUAUAUAUGUGCCUCUUCACACAGAAGGAAAAAGGAGAUCUUGACUAAGUGGAACUGAUUGGGAUGGACAUGUGUUUGUGUCUAUAGUGUCUAAUCAUCUGUGACAUUGCGUUCUUAAGUGAGACAGGUAAGGGGCCGAGAGUAGAAAGGCACACACGGCGCAGCCUCAUCUGAUGCUACAGUUCCUAAUCGUGAGCAUCACUUGAGAGUGAUAAAUUAUACAGUUCACUGGGAAAUAAAAUUUUAUUUCACAUAUCCCAGGCCAUUCAGAUUCUGUGUCGUGUUUAGCUUUUCCGACUCUGUCAGCACACAACAUCACAAUAUUUUAAGGUAAACAUAGGCAGAUGCAUUUGAACUUAUAUGAAGGUUUGAUGUUUGUAUAUAAUUUUAGGAGUAUAUAAUUCUUAUUGUUAAAGCACCCUUGCGAAUGAGCCCUUGUCUUUGAGAAGUUUAUUCUCCAUUAAAAAGAUUAAUGUGCUGAUAGAAGGAUUACAUUUGAAACAGCCAUUUUAAUUGUUUUUGAAAAGGCUAUUGCAAUAACAAAGUCACAUGACUCAUUGCACUAAAGGCUUUCAGUUGCCAUGGGAUGUAUAUAGGCAUAAAGGUUAUUAUGUUAAAUUUACUAGUAUCUAGGAAUUAUCGUUUUUAAUAUAAUAUAAUUUUUAAGUCAUUGUCACUAAUGUACAGACUUUCUUAGUAGUAUAGGCUACUUAGGGAAAGUUUACUACCAUGUGUUAAGUAAGAUACUGGAUAUAUUUAAAUAUUUCUUUACUCAUUACAGAGCUAAAUUUUGAGUGUACAGCAAUUUCAGAGAAUAAGAAGUAUAACAGCCUUUAUUAAAAUAGCCUUGUGUGAAAGUAAUGAAACACCCCAAUGGUUUACCUUUCUGUGAGAACUAGAUUGUCUUUCCCUGCUUUCUGUUUAUUCCAGCUUUACUCCAGAAUCGAGUGUUGGAGGAUAUUUGAUCACAUCAUGAACCCCAAGAUUGUAUUGUUUACU
Molecule: long non-coding RNA, 1829 nt
Filed under: Mus musculus (house mouse)
Lineage: Eukaryota; Metazoa; Chordata; Mammalia; Rodentia; Muridae
Description: long non-coding RNA chr19:57842931-57844760
Source: RNAcentral